RNAcentral lists this long non-coding RNA (3002 nucleotides) under Orbicella faveolata. RNAcentral's name for it is "uncharacterized LOC110063320". Lineage: Eukaryota; Metazoa; Cnidaria; Anthozoa; Scleractinia; Merulinidae. The record is from RNAcentral.
CCUUGCUAAAAAGAACAGCAGUACUCAGCCUGGUGCUUAAUUCCAGUGUCUAUGUGCACACUACCCCACAUUUUGUCAGGUUAGCCUACCUCCCAAAACACAGAAAAAAGACCCCAGCCAGAGUUGAAUGCAGUCAUCUAUCGCAUUGGUUUAGUACCAUCUUACCUAUCUAUAAAAGUGUCAAUUAACUCUUAAGUCCAUAGUAAGACUCAAUAAUGACCUUAUGCACCUUUCUGUUGCACCAAGAUAGCGCAGUGUUCCUUUUUCUAUCAUGCUCUUAAGACCUAUAACUCUCUGAGCCUUAACACCAGAAAUUCUACAUCACUCAGCAAGUUCGAGAGGAAGGUAAAAAGGGAGUUGUAAAGUUUAUGUACAGUAUUAAGUGUAUUUUAUCAUAUUGUUCAUCCUGGUUGUUAGCCUAAGUAUCAUACUUGUUAUAUUCAUUAAUAAACAUUUUAAUAUGUAAUUUUUAAGCACUUUAUGGAAUUGCAGACUAUUCUUGAUAUUAUGUAUAAAUUGAUUCUGCAGAGCAUAGUUGGGAGGAAAUAAUAAAAUAUGUGGAUUCCAAAUUAACUAUCCAUCACCACCAUUUCACAAAACAGAAAAAUGUGAGCAAGAUUACAUGCACUGCAAAUUACUACACUGUUAUUAUCGUAUAUUAUUAAUUUUUUUUUUACCUUUUUGGUUGUAGUCACCACAGAGUAUAUCUCAUUUCACCCUGUGUGGACAAGUGGACGAGCAGCAGGACAGCCGUUUGUUAUACAAGGAACUAUCUUUUAUCCAGAAGAGACAAUCAUGUACCGACCAGGAUUCUGGCAACUGAUCAAGAUGGCAUGGAUCCAAUACCUGGCAAUUCUCUUCAUUUUCCUCUUUCUGUUUGACAGAGUCAAAAGAUUUGUGUUUGAAAAUCAAGUGGUGACAACUGUUCCUAUGAUGAUAGAAAAAGAGCAUCAGGAAUAAUGAGCUAAUAAUGAACAGAUGCCAAUGUACAAAGUUAGUUUGGGAAGGCAUCUUGUGAUCAGAUGGAAUUUUAAUUUAUGAUGUUGAUGAAACAAAAAAGCGGAGAAAUCUAUUGUAGCAAAGCCAAAAAACUGGAGCAAAUCUUGCCAUCAGCCUGAAAAAGAUGACAGCAAAUUUAAACAAAGCCUUGCCAUGUGUCACCAUUCUUUACGUAAAUGACUGACACAGACGAGUACCAUGUAAGUUGUUUGUCACCCGCUAAUGUGGGCUGGCUCACCUUUGCAAGAUUCAGUAUGUCCUCGAGGGGCCAGGGAAGAGUGUUAUUUGCUUCUGUAUUGUUCAACAUUUUCAUAGUGACAGUGAAAAUUUACAACCAGCCACAACCAAUCAGAUGCCUCAUGGAUUGCUAAUAGUGUUCUGAUGUCAUUAUGGAAUUUUUGGAUCAGAUGUUUGACAGGAUCCUUGUGGAGAAUGGCAAUUAUCACAUGACAAUGGAUGUCUGUUUUCUAUGGCCAUGGAGUAUUCCAAAUGUUGUCACUGUGCCAUGUUGCUAGGCAACCUCUGAUAAAUGUUAUUUUCUGAUUGUGCAUGUUCAGAUGCUGUGUGCAGCAUAUACCGGUAGUUUUUGUUUUGAAGGACGCAAAAGUUUAAAGUCAAUUUCUUUCUAUUUAUUGCUACGCUUUUUUAUAGGUGCUAAAAUAUCUCAUCUAAUUGCCUAAGCAACGUCAGGCAGUGAAGGGUGCAAUUUUGACUAAGAGGGGAUUCUUAACAAGACCCAGGGGUUUCAUUAGUGCUUUCAGAGGAAAAGCAUCAGGUUUUCACAGGCUGGCAAAACUUUUUGAACUGAAAUUCUUUGUAGAAAAACUUUCCUCUAGAUGGUAAAACCAGGCAGGCCAAAUCGCCCUCACAGACAGUCCAUUUGCCCAGGGUCCAGCCCUUAUUGAACCCCCGGCAACAUCUCAUUUGCAAUAUUUGAGCAUCCAGUGACUGGGGUGUUCCAGUUUUAUUUCAUGAUAUUUGAAUGUUAAGAUCUUUUUAACUUAGAGUUGGCAUACGUGCAUCUUAUGUUUUUAAUUAAUGUAUGAUUUUAUACAGCAUACACAGGGCAAUUGAUCAACUCACCACACCCCUGCAUGUUGUUUGGAAAGAAAAUCAAAUUUUUGUUGACAAUUUUAAACCGUGAUCCCUUGAAUAGGGACACACAAAAUUGACAGGGAAACCAGUGGAUCAAAUUGUAUUGUGGGAUGCCUGUCUUAACCUCCUCUACAGGGAAUAUAAACUAACGUAAUGAAGAAAAAAAUCGGGAGAAUUCUCUUAGUUUUCGGGACAACCUCCAUUGCUAUAUUGCUACAUUGUUACUGCUCAAAUAGCGUCUAUUGAAGUUGUCACUCCUUGUCUUGUCGCACCUUCAAGUAUUAGAUCAUUGUAUGUCUUACGAAAUAUCAUUUACACACGCGUACAUAGAGAACUAAAUGAUACAUUGCUUCUUAAAAUACGUAAAUACGUACAGAAUCUUUCGAGUAUUGCAGUGCAAAUCUGGUUUAACCGCAGUCAACUGUGAACAUGCCCUGAGCUUUGAAAACAAUUUUUCGGGUUUUGUUUAGUUUUGUUUUUUGCUAACUUCCGCGCUUUCCCCCAAAAAAGAAUGCCUUCAGAGAGUUGUGUGGGUCUAAUCUUGACAUUCGACUGGCAUUAAUUGAAAAUUCUCAUUCAUUGCGAUAAAUGUUGAGGUCGAGGCCAUAGGCGAAAUUUCGGAACGUCGGGUCCCUCUGUAAACGUUAAGAAAACUGUUGAAUUUUUGUUUUGAAAUGCUCGCCUGUUCUUGCACUUGACUGGGUUUAUUUAUUCAUGUGUGCAUGGGAUAACACUGUGUAAGCCUUUGAGGCUUUUAAGCUUCCGGUUUUUUAUUAACUUAUUCGGUCGUUCCAGUGGUAACUGUUUCCUCAAUAAUGUUUAAUUUGUAAGAAAAAAACUAAAUUAUUCAGUUACUUUCUUCUUAGACGUACAUACUGCUUGUAAAUAAAGAGAAUAUACUUUUUAAA